UACGGGGGGAGCAAGCGUUGUUCGGAUUUACUGGGCGUAAAGGGCGCGUAGGCGGUCAGCACAAGUCAGUUGUGAAAUCUCCGGGCUUAACUCGGAAAGGUCAACUGAUACUGUGCGACUAGAGUGCAGAAGGGGCAACUGGAAUUCUCGGUGUAGCGGUGAAAUGCGUAGAUAUCGAGAGGAACACCUGCGGCGAAGGCGGGUUGCUGGGCUGAUACUGACGCUGAGGCGCGAAAGCGUGGGGAGCAAACAGG
RNAcentral lists this ribosomal RNA (254 nucleotides) under uncultured bacterium. Its description in RNAcentral is "partial 16S ribosomal RNA". It matches the Rfam family "Bacterial small subunit ribosomal RNA", at positions 524 to 776 of the family's 1533-position model. The record is from RNAcentral.